This 21-nucleotide unclassified non-coding RNA is filed under the name Chlamydomonas reinhardtii. RNAcentral describes it as "small RNA Cre_3325". The record is from RNAcentral. Lineage: Eukaryota; Viridiplantae; Chlorophyta; Chlorophyceae; Chlamydomonadales; Chlamydomonadaceae.
UGGCGGGUGAGAGAGAUACGG